UUAGCCCAAUCCAAUUUGGCAAGUUAUUAACUCAUGCAAAAGUCACUGAUGUUGCACGAAAUGGAGUUAAGUUGGCGGGUCGCAACCGCAUUUCCAUUGAGUUCUUGUCCCCAGAGGCGGCAAAUAACUUCCUGACAAACCCCUUGUUAGAGUCAAGUAGAUUCUCUGCCAUUAUACCUACCUAUAAUAUCACAAGGAUGGGAAUUAUCCGUGGUGUUCCAACAGACUGGAGUUUAUCUGAGUUUGUGGACAAUGUUGAACUCCCAGAUGGCUGUGGCCACAUUUGUAAAGUCCGUAGACUAAACCGGAAAGUCUCAAAAGAUGGUAAUAAUGAAUGGGUCCCUACAGGCACUGUUGUUGUUACAUUUACGGGUCAAACACUCCCUCAAAAAAUUUUCUGUUUUUAUACUUCACUUCCAGUGGAAGUGUACGAGCUACCCACCAUUCAAUGCCACAAUUGUUGUCGAUUUGGACACAUUGCCAACGCCUGUCGCUCCAAUAAACCUAGGUGCUUCCGAUGCGCCCAACCUCACGCUGGGAACAACUGUUCCGUUCCAGAGGCAAAUGCUACUUGUUUACUUUGUUUAGGUAGACACUUUGCCACAAGUAAAUCUUGCCCAGAGCUUGGUCGACAAAAAGUAAUUAAAAUUACUAUGGCUCAAGAGAACAUCUCCUUCCCAGAGGCCUCAGCUAAGGUGCCACCGGUUCGCCGUGCGUAUGCUGACGUGGCAAAAACUUUGUUUGCCCCAGUAGCUCCUCCACAAUCUCCUCCAUCACCCCAUAGAUUUAUAUCAUACUCACAGCCUCACAGCCAAUCAAGUUAUCGGAAAACAGUUUUUACUCCGGUAGUGCGCCCAAGAGCUCCCUCGAGUCCGGGAUAUGAUCGUGUAGCCCAUCAGGCCUUAAUUUCAGAUAGAGAUCCACCAGCCCCUAAUAAUGGGGUUUGUUUAAAUAACUCUCCUACACCGAGAGGAGAUAAUCUGUUGGACCUUUUAGUGUCAAUGCUUGUCAAUAUAUUGAAUAGAUAUAGUGAUUUUUCACCACCGUCCCACGUUGCCAAUUUGUUAGGAGACUUGUCAAAUGUUAUUAACAAAAUUCAAAAUUAUUCAGUGGAACGCUCAGAGUCUACGUCCUAAGAAACAUGAAGCCUUACUCAUGAUUAAUUCUCACGAUCCAGGAGUCUUUGCUAUCUCGGAGACUUGGUUUAUACCGGGAUCCUAUUUUAGGCUACCGGGCUUCUCCUGUCUCCGGGAUGACAGAGCUGAUGGAUAUGCUGGUGUUGCAUUGUUUAUUAAAUCUACAUUUACGUACUCCCGUAUUCCUCUUCCAACUAUAACAGGUAUCAAUGCCAUUGCUGCCAAAAUCCAAAAUGUAACCAUUAUUUGCAUUUAUAUUCCUAAUCCCAGUGUAAUUUCAAUCUCGGACAUUGAGUCAAUUUUCUCCCACGUCUCUGGACCUGUUAUUAUUGUAGGGGAUUUUAACAUGUCACAUUUAAUAUGGGGUGGUCCUGAUUAUGACCCCAUCGGCUGUGAUCUGGUCGACUUGAUGGACUCCAGGAAUCUUUGCCUCCUUAACGAUGGCUCUCCAACGAGAUAUACUGCUCCGGACCGCAGAGUCAGCGCUGUUGACCUAUCUAUGUGCUCACCGGAUAUUAGAUCUAUGAUCUCUUGGCAAAUCCUACAAGAGAAAUUUGGAAGCGAUCACUACGUUAUUGUUAUUUCGUUUGACCAACCAUCCCCUUCCCUCAGGUCUUUCGAACCCUUAUUAAAAUAUCGUCUGUCUCGCGCAAAUUGGGAUAAUUAUUCUAUUGAGGCUGAUGCCAACUCUCAUUCUGUCCCUCUCAUCAAUAAUUCCAACGUUGAGGAAGGCUAUAACCUUUUUGUUGAAGGCAUUUGUAAAGCUGCAAACAAUAACAUCCCAAUUAAAAAGUCUAAGAUUGGUAGUAAAGUGUCUCCCCCUUGGUGGGAUGUUCAUUGUUCUGAUAUGUACAAACGCCGUAAAGAGGCAGAAAUUAACUACUGCCUUACGAUGACCAUAGAGAACUAUCUGCUUUUAAAAAAAAUUUCAGCAGUUGCCAAACGUUUUUUCAAAAAAAAGAAACGGUCCUCAUGGGUCCGAUUCUGCCAGUCUCUUUCCCCUCGGACUCCUCCUUCCUUGUUAUGGAGAUCCAUAAAACGUUUUAGGGGUUCUUUUUCUGGUCGUAGUUGCGACUCGAAUGAUUAUUCAAAAUGGAUACAUGAAUUCACAAACAACCUGGCUCCUUUCUCGGCUGCUAACCAUGACUGCUUAUCUUCGCCAUACCCUUCUGCUUUUCCUCAUCACUCACUCAAUGAUCCAUUUUCUAUGGUAGAGCUUCUAUCAUCCCUUCAAUCCCUUAGGGACUCAUCACCUGGUAUAGACGGUAUCCCAUAUUCCUUUCUUAAAAAAUCUGGCCAAUUUACAAAAUCUUUAUUCCUUUCAAUAGUUAACAAAUUUUUUGAAACAGCUUUUGUUCCAGAGUCUUGGAAAAACCAGAUAAUUAUCCCAAUUUUAAAACCAGGGAAAAACCCUUCGAAAUGCUCUUCCUACAGACCUAUUGCUCUUUCAUCAACCCUUUGCAAGACCAUGGAACAUAUGUUAAAAAGAAGAUUCUUUGAGCUGUCUUUAUGCAAUCGACUCAAACCAAUUUACCUCCAUUUCUAAAUCACCUUUAAUCUUACAAGUCAGAGAAAUCUUAUAUGAUUGCCACAUUAAUAACAUUGAAGUAGUCAUUGCCUGGAUACCAAGCCAUACGGGAAUCAGAGGUAAUACAAUACUUAUCCCUGGAAUUGACUUUGGAUAAAUUUAUCAGACAUUCUCUAUGGACAAGUGUCUUUUCUAUACUUGACUCUGGCAGUAAUGGUUGUCUACUAUACGACGACCGGUUGCCAUUAACCAUAAAGUUGAAGUU
RNAcentral lists this unclassified non-coding RNA (2929 nucleotides) under Pectinophora gossypiella (pink bollworm). Its description in RNAcentral is "protein fuzzy homolog". The record is from RNAcentral. Lineage: Eukaryota; Metazoa; Arthropoda; Insecta; Lepidoptera; Gelechiidae.